Molecule: long non-coding RNA, 908 nt
Organism: Molossus molossus (Pallas's mastiff bat)
Lineage: Eukaryota; Metazoa; Chordata; Mammalia; Chiroptera; Molossidae
Exons: 6
Source: RefSeq, a predicted model, not a curated record
CACUCAACGUGCUAUUAGACUUGCCGGUGGAGAGUGACAGGCAGGCUCUGGAGAAGCACCGGCGCCUGCAGAUCAGAACAAGGAGCAAGUGUGCGUUCUGCUAAGUGUUCUGAGCCACCUUCCCUAGUGUUUUUAGAGCAAUAGAAGUUCGAGGUACGGACGCUGAGACAGUACAGUUAAGCAGCUUGCCCUGGGCCGUCAAAGUGCAAAAGUAACCCUUGGACUCUUCAGGCUGAGCAGUUGGGUUGAGUACUCCAACUAAGAGGAGGAGGACAGCAUGCUGGGGAAGACUCUGCCAGAGGAAAGUGGAAAGCCUGUUUCUUCUGGUUGCAGCAUAUGUGGGAGAAAGAAUGCUGGCAUGAGGCUGCCACUUCGGUUGGCUCUUUGUCAACACUGAGGGUCAUGGUUGACACAGGUGGAUAGUUAGAGUUCAACUUGAACGUUGUAUGAAUAUGUCUAAGAAGCAGAGGUUAACUGUCAUUUGCUAAAGACAGCAUCCAAUUAACAACUGGACGAGGACUGGGCUAAGUACAUUGGAAGGGAACUCUGUUCUCUGGGAAAGGUGAAGAGACAGAGUUAUUUCUUGGGCAGUUUAUAGAGAGAAAUUUCCGGAGGACCUGAGGAAUAUCUUUGGUUGAUACAGAUGUAAAACAAAAAUUUAUUGCUUUUUUCCAGGAGUGAGAGAAGAGUCUCGAAGAAGUCCUCUGAUCCAUUUUAUUAUGGUACUGUGCUCUGUCUCGACCAGGGCAUAGGAGACAGUGAGGACAGCAGCCACGACUUACCAAACCACACUAGUUCUUGACAACGAGGGUAAGAAUCCCCUGGAACAGGCUGGGGCGUGGAGAAGCUUGUUAAAACUGCACCUUCCGGCUGCUCUAACGACAGGCACUCUGAGCAGGAAGGUUGGA